CUUUACUGCAACUUGCCAGUGAGUUUCGGAUCGUUCUGCGUAGGAUAGGUGGGAGGCUUUGAAGCCGGGCCUCUGGGUUCGGUGGAGCCACCGUUGAAAUACCACCCUGGACGAUCUGGGAUUCUAACCUGCGCCCCUGACCGGGGUGGGGGACACUGGCUGGUGGGCAGUUUGACUGGGGCGGUCGCCUCCCAAACAGUAACGGAGGCGUGCGAAGGUUCCCUCAGCCUGAUUGGAAACCAGGCGUAGAGUGCAAACGCACAAGGGAGCUUAACUGCGAGACCGACAGGUCGAGCAGGUGCGAAAGCAGGCGUUAGUGAUCCGGUGGUUCCACAUGGAAGGGCCAUCGCUCAUCGGAUAAAAGGUG
RNAcentral lists this ribosomal RNA (367 nucleotides) under uncultured organism. RNAcentral describes it as "bacterial LSU rRNA". It matches the Rfam family "Bacterial large subunit ribosomal RNA", at positions 2099 to 2464 of the family's 2925-position model. The record is from RNAcentral.